Molecule: microRNA precursor, 74 nt
Filed under: Callithrix jacchus (white-tufted-ear marmoset)
Lineage: Eukaryota; Metazoa; Chordata; Mammalia; Primates; Cebidae
Description: microRNA cja-mir-671 precursor
Gene: cja-mir-671
Rfam family: mir-671 microRNA precursor family
Source: miRBase by way of RNAcentral
GGAAGAGGAGGAAGCCCUGGAGGGGCUGGAGGUGAUGGAUGUUUUCCUCCGGUUCUCAGGGCUCCACCUCUUUC